GCAUGAGGGGACCCGGGUGUCG
Molecule: microRNA, 22 nt
Filed under: Human betaherpesvirus 5
Lineage: Duplodnaviria; Heunggongvirae; Peploviricota; Herviviricetes; Herpesvirales; Orthoherpesviridae
Description: hcmv-miR-US4
Source: RNAcentral